ACCCGAAACCGACACUGGUGGUCAGGUAGAGUAUACCAAGGCGCUUGAGAGAACUAUGCUGAAGGAACUCGGCAAAUUGCACGCGUAACUUCGGAAGAAGCGUGACCCUUUUCUGCGCAAGCAGAGGAGGGUGGCACAGACCAGGGGGUAGCGACUGUUUAUCAAAAACACAGGGCUCUGCGAAGUCGCAAGACGACGUAUAGGGUCUGACGCCUGCCCGGUGCUGGAAGGUUAAGAGGAGGUGUGCAAGCACUGAAUUGAAGCCCCAGUAAAUGGCGGCCGUAAUUAUAACGGUCCUAAGGUAGCGAAAUUCCUUGUCGGGUAAGUUCCGACCUGCACGAAUGGCGUAACGAUGGCCACACUGUCUCCUCCUGAGACUCAGCGAAGUUGAAAUGUUUGUGAUGAUGCAAUCUCCCCGCGGAAAGACGGAAAGACCCCAUGAACCUUUACUGUAGCUUUGUAUUGGACUUUGAACAGAUCUGUGUAGGAUAGGUGGGAGGCUUUGAGGCAGUGCCGCUAGGUGCUGCGGAGCCAACGUUGAAAUACCACCCUGGUGUGUUUGAGGUUCUAACCUUGACCCGUUAUCCGGGUUGGGGACAGUGUAUGGUGGGCAGUUUGACUGGGGCGGUCUCCUCCCAAAUCGUAACGGAGGAGUUCGAAGGUACGCUAGGCACGGUCGGAAAUCGUGCUGAUAGUGCAUAGGCAUAAGCGUGCUUGACUGCGAGACUGACAAGUCGAGCAGGUACGAAAGUAGGACUAAGUGAUCCGGUGGUUCUGUAUGGAAGGGCCAUCGCUCAACGGAUAAAAGGUACUCUGGGGAUAACAGGCUGAUACCGCCCAAGAGUUCAUAUCGACGGCGGUGUUUGGCACCUCGAUGUCGGCUCAUCACAUCCUGGGGCUGUAGUCGGUCCCAAGGGUAUGGCUGUUCGCCAUUUAAAGUGGUACGCGAGCUGGGUUCAGAACGUCGUGAGACAGUUCGGUCCCUAUCUGCCGUGGGUGU
Molecule: ribosomal RNA, 1000 nt
Filed under: Austrofundulus limnaeus
Lineage: Eukaryota; Metazoa; Chordata; Actinopteri; Cyprinodontiformes; Rivulidae
Description: bacterial LSU rRNA
Rfam family: Bacterial large subunit ribosomal RNA
Source: RNAcentral